RNAcentral lists this non-coding RNA (22 nucleotides) under Rattus norvegicus (Norway rat). Lineage: Eukaryota; Metazoa; Chordata; Mammalia; Rodentia; Muridae. The record is from RNAcentral.
CAGAUGAUUGCUAACUUGUGUG